GAUGAACGCUGGCGGCGUGCCUAAUACAUGCAAGUCGAGCGAACGGACGAGAAGCUUGCUUCUCUGAUGUUAGCGGCGGACGGGUGAGUAACACGUGGAUAACCUACCUAUAAGAUUGGGAUAACUUCGGGAAACCGUAGCUAAUACCGGAUAAUAUUUUGAACCGCAUGGUUCAAAAGUGAAAGACGGUCUUGCUGUCACUUAUAGAUGGAUCCGCGCUGCAUUAGCUAGUUGGUAAGGUAACGGCUUACCAAGGCAACGAUGCAUAGCCGACCUGAGAGGGUGAUCGGCCACACUGGAACUGAGACACGGUCCAGACUCCUACGGGAGGCAGCAGUAGGGAAUCUUCCGCAAUGGGCGAAAGCCUGACGGAGCAACGCCGCGUGAGUGAUGAAGGUCUUCGGAUCGUAAAACUCUGUUAUUAGGGAAGAACAUAUGUGUAAGUAACUGUGCACAUCUUGACGGUACCUAAUCAGAAAGCCACGGCUAACUACGUG
Molecule: ribosomal RNA, 497 nt
Filed under: uncultured bacterium
Lineage: Bacteria
Description: partial 16S ribosomal RNA
Rfam family: Bacterial small subunit ribosomal RNA
Source: RNAcentral